AAACGAUUGAAGUCAGUCAUGCCGGUGAGAAAUCAGCUCAUAGGCUACUAUGGGUGCACUUUUUCGCAAGGCAGGUUAACAUCGGUUUUUGUUGCGUCAUAAUAAUUGUAGGAAGGUGGC
This 120-nucleotide ribosomal RNA is filed under the name Archaeosporaceae sp. RNAcentral describes it as "partial large subunit ribosomal RNA". Lineage: Eukaryota; Fungi; Glomeromycota; Glomeromycetes; Archaeosporales; Archaeosporaceae. The record is from RNAcentral.